CAGGCGGGGUAUCAGAGCAAGAUCAUGUUUAAAAAAACAAAACAAAAAAGAAUCUCAAGACGACGACAACAGAGCAUCAAAACAAGCGCGGGGUCCCUUGAAGCACAGGGCAGGCCUGUGAAGUUAGCCCUGGUGGGAGGUCUGGGUUCAGGGGUUGGGAGAAAGAGAGUGUUUCAGUUCAGAGGGAACAGCCAGUGCAAAGCCCCAGAACGAGAACACAAUUGUGAGAACUUUGGGAUGCUAUGGGCACCACAGGAAGGAGAAGGCCCCUUGAAGACUGCUUCAGAAAGAGCUUCCUCCCAAACCACAGACUUGACACGAGCAUUUUCCAUCCGUGCCCUGCCAGUCUCUCAGCUACUGGCCUGGCAGGAAGAGGCGAAUAUAGGAGGUGGCCUUCCAGGGCAGAGCAGCAGUGAAGUGACUGCCGAAGGAAACUGCAGAGGGCAGAAGCAGAUCCACAAAUACAAGUCACUUCUUCACUGUGGCUUCCACGUGAGUCAGAACCCUCGAAUAGAUACCCCUGGCCUCUUCUCCCAGGCCUUAGUUGUUUGUCUUGGAAAUGGGGCAAGGAUUGGAUCCUGUCUGGACUAGCUUAAACCUCUAGCCCCUGCUUCCAUUUUGCAGAAACAGGACCUCAAACGGUAAGAAGGGGCCGGGCGCGGUGGCUCAAGC
Molecule: long non-coding RNA, 672 nt
Organism: Cercocebus atys (sooty mangabey)
Lineage: Eukaryota; Metazoa; Chordata; Mammalia; Primates; Cercopithecidae
Exons: 3
Source: RefSeq, a predicted model, not a curated record